GCUUUGUUUUGGUUUCAAAUUAAUACAUAUAUUAAUAUAACUUUGGAAAUAGAUAUAUUUCAGGAUUUUAAUAUGAUAUUGAACUACAUUCCUAAAUUGUGCAUUUUGCUAUCUCAUGCAGACUUUUACUCUUUUAAGUCUUAGGUACAACAAAGAGGAUAAUUCUAAGUAGCUAGAGAAGAAAUUCACCUUCCUUAUUUUAAGGAAUGGGUCCAAGAUAUUAAUUUGUUGUCUAUUUUUGAAAAGGAUUUAGGUUCUAAAAAUAAGAUGAUAUGGUACUCUGUUAUAGGAUACAUUUAAUGACUUAUAAUAAUCAUUCUUUCUAUUAACUAGAGAUUGGGUUUUGUUAUGUGUAGUUCAUUUUAGUUACUAUUCAGAGUUCUCUCACCCGCUCCCUCUAUUUCCUUCCUUCCUUCCUUCCUUCCUUCCUUCCUUCCUUCCUUCCUUCCUAUUUUCUUCUCCUUUGGAUGGGGAUUGCCUUUGAGUCAGUGUUGACUCUGGCAGCUGCCUAGACUAGUCCCUGCAGAUCUCUUGGCAAGAUUUUCACAAGUGAUUUGCCAUGACCUUCUUCUGCCUAGGAUUGAGCGAGAGUAUCAGACCCAAGGUCACCCAGCUGGAUUUGUGACUAAGGCAGGAAUAGAACUCCAAGUCUCUAGCCUGAUGCCUUAAAUUGGCUCUCUUCGUGAUAUAAUCACUAUUUAAUAUGGUGUGUAUGGGUAGGAGGGUUUCCCCUUACAAGCUUUGCACUAAGGAAUGGAAUUUGGCUUAUAUAAAUAGUCUUCGACUUGCAACCAUUCAAAGUUACAAUGGACUCUGAAAAUGCUACUUAGAACCCCAAUUCAAAUUCAUAUCUGAGUCGCCCCCCUCCCAAUCAUAUGACUGCAUUUUGGGCACUCUGCAACCGCUUGCAUUUAUGGCACUUUGCAGUACCCCAUGAUAUAGAAUUUUCCAGUCUGUGUUUUCAGCAGGUGUGAUGGUCUUUUCCAGGAAGGGUCUUUUGAUGUGCACACACCCUCUGCUGGGCAAAAGAACACAAAACAACACCUACAAUUUUGACGGUGAUAAACCGAUGAUAAUAAUCAUCUGGAGUAAUAGCUUCAUUUCUCUUAUGAGAUAGAUAUAAACAGUUGUGAUGGCAUAUAUUUCAGCACUUUAAUCUCUCUAACCCUAACUCAUAACUUUACAAAGAAGCUAACAAAGCUAAGGAGCCCACCACUCAAGAAUUCACAACAGAAGACAUUUCAAGGAGAAAGACAAGCUAGCUUUUGCUCAAUACAUUUUUAGAGGCUUAUUGCUACAAGAUACCCCUAAGGCUAAUUAUUUGGAAACCUGCAACUAUGUUUAGAAAAAUGAUUGUACAGUACUGUGUGCUUGUUUUCAAACCCACUACAAAAUGAUGAAGUAAUAAUUUGCUGCAAGAUGCCAAAUGGCCAUGAAAUACUAAUCUUAUAAUGAGAAAAGUGGGAAUAGUUGAGGAGAAUGAAGGAGAAUGAAAAAGUAUCAAUACUGUAUACUACUUUAAGAACCAGGCUACAAAUAUGUUUGUAUUUAUUUUUACUCAAUUGCUUUUCCUAACUUGGUGCUGGCUAUAAAACUGAAGGAUACUGUCUUGGAGUAAGCUACCCUAUGGACCAUCAUUUAUCUUUCCUGGUUUCUUUUUAUUCUCAGUAAGUCCUUCAAUUAAUUCAUAUUAUAUCUGUUUCCGUUUUGUUCUCCAUUUUGUAGCACAUGUUACCUAGUUGACUUUGACUAAUCUUGAAAAGGCAAAGUGGAGUGUAACUUACUUAGUGUUUGGGUGGGAGAUCAUUAGGGCUAAGCUGAGAAGUCUGAAAUAAACACCUCAGAAGGAGGCAAUGAAAAACCAUUUCCAGAUGGUUGCCAAUAACCUAUACAGAGAUCAAGCUCAUCUCAAAGGACUGCUUAUCUUUUUAUUUCUGAACCGGUUCCUCCACUCAUCUCCAACACACCAUUGAAUUCAUGUCUGCCACACAUUUGUGCCAAUCUAAGUUAAUGGUGUUAAAUGAAGUUUCUCCAAAUUAAAUGAUGGUUCUGGAGCCAAUUCAUAAUAUCCUUUAAAUACAAAACUUGCUGUGUUGAUUUACCACACAAGAAAUUACCUCAUUUUACC
Non-coding RNA from Pseudonaja textilis, 2128 nucleotides. Lineage: Eukaryota; Metazoa; Chordata; Lepidosauria; Squamata; Elapidae. The record is from RefSeq and is a predicted model, not a curated record.